Molecule: RNase P RNA, 350 nt
Filed under: Clostridium cellulovorans 743B
Lineage: Bacteria; Bacillati; Bacillota; Clostridia; Eubacteriales; Clostridiaceae
Description: Bacterial RNase P class A
Rfam family: Bacterial RNase P class A
About the family: Ribonuclease P (RNase P) is a ubiquitous endoribonuclease, found in archaea, bacteria and eukarya as well as chloroplasts and mitochondria. Its best characterised activity is the generation of mature 5'-ends of tRNAs by cleaving the 5'-leader elements of precursor-tRNAs.
Source: Rfam by way of RNAcentral
CGAGUAAGCCAGACAAUCGCUGCUGAUUUUUAGUCAGGAGAGGAAAGUCCGAGCUUCAUAGGGCAGGGUGCUGGGUAACUCCCAGUGGAGGCGACUCUAAGGAAAGUGCAACAGAGAGAUACCGCCUUAUUGAAUUUAUUUAAUAAGGUAAGGGUGGAAAGGUGAGGUAAGAGCUCACCAGCGCAUUGGUGACUUUGCGGCUAUGUAAACCCCACUUGAAGCAAGACCAAAUGGAGGCAUAUGGGGCUGCCCGUCCCGUCUCAGGUAGCGUCGCUUGAGUCUAUUGGUAACAAUAGGCCUAGAUAGAUGAUUGUCAAAUACAGAACUCGGCUUAUAGGUUUGCUCGUCCA